UACGAAGGGGGCUAGCGUUGCUCGGAAUUACUGGGCGUAAAGGGAGCGUAGGCGGAUAGUUUAGUCAGAGGUGAAAGCCCAGGGCUCAACCCUGGAAUUGCCUUCGAUACUGGAGAUCUUGAGACCGGAAGAGGUAAGUGGAACUGCGAGUGUAGAGGUGAAAUUCGUAGAUAUUCGCAAGAACACCAGUGGCGAAGGCGGCUUACUGGUCCGGUUCUGACGCUGAGGCGCGAAAGCGUGGGGAGCAAACAGG
This 253-nucleotide ribosomal RNA is filed under the name uncultured bacterium. RNAcentral's name for it is "partial 16S ribosomal RNA". It matches the Rfam family "Bacterial small subunit ribosomal RNA", at positions 524 to 776 of the family's 1533-position model. The record is from RNAcentral.